AUGAGGGGAAGUUAGAUUGAAAGAGACCUGAGAAGGUUUUCUGGGGUGAUGGAAGCUUUCUCCAUUUUGAUUGUGAUGUUGUAACAUAGUAUAUACAUUUAUCAAAACUCAUUGAAUUGUAUACAUAUGACCUGUAUAUUUUACUAUAAGUACAUUUUCGUUCAAUACAAAAUUUUUUACAAAAAAAGUAGAUCAGUUUUCACCUAUCCUAAUUACAUAUCUAAAUAGUUCUAUCUAUCUCCUUUUUGUAGUAUAAACUUUAUGGGGGCAGGGACAUGUUUAGUCUUUGUCAUGGAUUGAAUUAUGUACCCCCAAAAAUGUGUGUAUCAAUUUGGCUGGGCCAUGAUUCCCUAUUGUGUGAUUGUCCUCCAUUUUGUGAUUGUAAUUUUAUAUUAAAGAGGAUUAGGGUGGGAUUGUAACACCCUUACUAAGGUCACAUCCCUGAUUCAAUGCAAAGGGAGUUUCCCUGGGGUGUGGCCUGCAUCACCUUUUAUCUUACAAGAGAUAAAAGGAAGGGGAAGCAAGCAGAGGGUUGAGUACCUCAUCUUACCAAGAAAGCAGCGCUGGAAGCAGAGCUCAUCCUUUGGGCCCGGGAUGCUUGUGUGGAGAAGCUCCUAGUAUCAGGGAAGAUGGAUGAGAAGGCCCAUGAGGAGGGAAAGCUUUCCACUGGAGGGGACACCCUGAAUUUGGACUUUUAGCCUACUUUAUUGUGAGGAAAUAAACUUUUCUUUGUUAAAGCCAUCCACCUGUGGAAUUUCUGUUAUAGCAGCACUAGAUGACUAGGACAGUCUUGGUUCCCACUGUAUCUCUACCACUUAGCACAGUGCUUGGCUAAUAGCAAGUAUUCAAAAGCAGUUUUUGAGUAAAUAAAUAAAUGAGAGGCAAUAUGGAAAGGUGAGGAGAGCUUAGUUCUAGAAUCAGAUAGACCAGGUUUUGACCCAGUUUUCUGACAUUGGAGACUUGUGAAACCUUUUGAAACAUGUUUUGUCAUCUGUAAAAGGGAGAUAAUAAUAGUAACUACCUCUAGAGUUAUUGUGAGGAUUGGAUGAGGUAAACUGUUUUCUAGGCACAUGGUAAACCCUCCAUGCCUCACAGUUGUUAUCAUUAUUACCAUCAUUAUUCUCAGGCCACAGCACAGGUCACUCACUUUCCAGCCUUGGAUCAGAUCCAAUGCCUAUGCCAAUCAGCUCAGGCCUGGCAGGAAGGGCUGGGGAGAGAGCUUCUUGUGCAGCCUGUGGGAAGGGUAGGCACAUGAUUGACAGAUCCAUAAGUACACAAAGCCGGGAACACCUCCCAGAGGGCCUCUUUUGCUUUCUUCAUUGCCUUUCUCAGUCUUUCUCCCAGUCUUUAUAUUGCUCUUAAUACUGGCUACAUUAAGCCAGUCCUUUGCUUAGCUCCCUUUCUGUCACUGAAAAGCAUCUUUGUGAGUAUAAGUGAUCCUGUCUCUUUAGUUAACAGGGCAUGCUAAGUAGAGUCAGGUAGUUGAUGUUGGCUAAAGAUAGGUUAACCAGACUGCUAAAGAAACACAACUACAUAUUCAGUGGUUACUAGCACUGAGCUGAUAACCUCAUGUUUUCUCUUCUUCCUGGGUCACAGGAAACAUUGCCUACUCCACCCUUCCCAGCGGUUGCUGUCAGAAAACAUUGAUGUGGAUCAGUAUGUAGGGUAUACACAGAAGGCAGAUGGAAAAGAAAAUGCAAAUAGGGGUUACGAUAUUUUCUUCAGUAGAAAAGCAUUGGAAACUGGAAAAUGAGGGAGGAAGAGGAGAAGCCUUGAUUGCUUUAUGUUCACUCAGUGUGAGGGGGCAAAAGCUAUUGCUUUUUCAAGGAUCAUCUGGAGAAGAUUUCCUGACAAGAAAAUGAGGCUCAGAGAGGCUGGCCAACUAACCUGAAUUUACACAGUAUUUAAGCACAGCACCUCCCUGUUAAUAAUUUCUUUCACCGAGCACAGUGACUAUUGUUGGGGAAUCUCUGUGGAGACUUUUUGGAAGAAAGCACACUUGAGGAGUGGGGAAUUAUGUUCCACCUCUCGGAGGAUGGAGGAUCUACAACAACUCUGGUUGUAGAAUUUGGAAUUCUGCAUGGAGAUUUGUCUCUUCUCCCCUGUUUACCACCCUGGGUGAGCAGCAGUCCUGGAUGCAGUCUGUCAGCCGGAGCCACCGGACAUUGAAGAGUUGAUCUGCUCAGGCUGAAUUUUCUGUAAGGAGAGCAACCAGUAAAUAAAUUAUUGGUUGUGGACUUGGAGAUGGAUGGAUUAACCAAUGACUUCGUGGAGCGUCCCCUUUCAGAAAGACAUUAUCUCCCAUCGGGUUAAUUCCCAGCUCAUGGUGACCCCAAGCACAACAGAAUAAAAUGCUUCCCAGUCCUGUGCCGUUCCCAUUACUGAUUGCAGAUCAAACAGUUGUGACCUAAGGGAUUUUCAUUGGCUGAUUCUUGAAAGUAGAUCUCCAGGCCUUUCUUCCUAGUCAACUUUAGUCUGGAAGCUCUGCUGCAACCUGCUGAGUAUCACAGCAACAUGCAAGCCACCACUGAGACACACGGGAAGUGGCUAUGCAUGAAGUGCACUGGCUGGAAGCAGAGCCUUGGUCUCCCGCAUGAAUGGUGAAAAUCCUACCAUUGAACCUCUAUAGUCUCUGUAGCACCUCUGAAUACUCCUCUUAAAAAUCUCUCAUCUUAUGCUGCAGCAUUUCCAUUGACAAUAGAAUGCAAGUUGGUGUGGACACAUUGGAGACUCAGUUCAGAAGAGACUGACACAAAGAGACCUUUUCAAGACUGUACUUGCUACACAGAAGUUUGCCUUUAUUUAAGUAUGAGAAUUUAAACAUCAUGGGAAGUUGUGAAACUAUUAGUCUCUGUGGGCCAACAAAGGAUUCCAAGCCACGCUUUCAAAAUUGGAAUGCUUUUUCUAUAUCAACAUUAUGAAGAAUGUACGCUAUUGAGAAAUAAGUUUAUCAGCAUCUCUUAAGUUCUCCCAAAUGAUGAAAGGCAUGACCUACUUCCAUUAAAAAUGCAAUUAGAAGACAGAUGCUAUCAUAAAGUGCUAAUAAACUAUUUGAACGGAAUCUUCUUACUACAAGGGUCUUGCGUACUUGCUCUGAUGAAGACAGCUGCUGUGCUGUGACCUGCCCUUUGGAGAAGUCUGUGUGACAAAGAACUGAGGAACUGAGGUCUUCAGCCCAAUGGCCAGUGAGGAAGUAAAUCCUGCCAACAGCCACUUAGUGAACUUGGAAGCAGAUCCAUUUUUAGUUGAGCCUUAAAAUGACUGCAGCCUUUUGAGAGACUCAGAGGCAGAGGACCCAGCUCAGUAUAGGGAGUCCCCCCGAUUACAAAAGAGUUCCAUUCUGAAGCCUGGUUUUACGUCAAAUUUGGAAGUAAGUCAGAACAGUUAGGUACCGUUUGUAUCUAAUGUCAGUCAAGUGUUUGUCUUAAUAUUUAGUAUAUAGUAUACCUUUCUAUGCAUUAAAAAACAUUAAAGAAACACUUCCAGAUACAUUAAAACAUCUUUAAUAUAAUAAUACAGUAAUAAUAAUAAUGAUGUUUUGAUGGGUGUUGCAAAGUAGUGCCCAUUUGUUAUCAUGAACCAUUGCAUGUACUUCAAAUUUUUAAUGUAAUAAGCUUUAUGGGGGUUAGUUCGUAACUAUAGAUUGUACGUAAGUCAGAUAUUGGCAACCUGGGGAGUGCCUGUACCUGAAUUCCUGACCCACAAGAAAAAUAAAUGUACGUGAGAUAAAUAAAUGUAAGAUAAUAAGUGCAUGUUCUUUUAAGUCACUAAAUUUUAGGGUAAUUUGUUACACAGCAGUAGAUAACUACUGCACUGGCCAUUUGGAUAUAUUCUUUUGUGAUGUGUCUAUACAAGUCUUUUGCCCAUUUUUCAGCUGGGUUUUUAUGCUUGCUUAUUUAUUUGUUUGCUUGCUUAUUUAUUUAUUUGUUCUAGUUCUUUGAAUAUUCUGAACAUGAAUCCCUAACAUAUAUACUGCAUAUAUCUCCUCCCAUUCUGCGGCUUGC
This is a long non-coding RNA of Loxodonta africana (African savanna elephant), 4004 nucleotides long. RefSeq lists it as uncharacterized. The record is from RefSeq and is a predicted model, not a curated record. NCBI's taxonomy places the organism in Eukaryota, Metazoa, Chordata, Mammalia, Proboscidea, Elephantidae. The transcript is spliced from 10 exons.